AAUGAACGCUGGCGGCAGGCCUAACACAUGCAAGUCGAACGAGGCGGGCGCGGGUGAGUAAUGUCUGGAAAAUUGCCCGAAGGAGGGGGCUAAUUCUUGGAAACGGAAGUUAAUACCGACUACCAUCGGCUGACCCCUGAUUGGAAUAGCUAGUAGGUGGGGUAACGGCUCACCUAGGCUACGAUCCCUAGCUGGUCUGAGAGGAUGAACAGCCACACUGGAACGGAGACACGGUCCAGACUCCUACGGGAGGCAGCAGUGUGGAAUAUUGCACAAUGGGCGAAAGCCUGAUGCAGCAAUGCCGCGUGUAUGAAGAAGGCCUUCGGAUUGUAAAGUACUGUCAGCGGGGAGGCGGUACCCGCAGAAAAAGCACCGGCUAACUCCGUGCCAGCAGCCGCGGUAAUAC
Molecule: ribosomal RNA, 406 nt
Filed under: uncultured bacterium
Lineage: Bacteria
Description: partial 16S ribosomal RNA
Rfam family: Bacterial small subunit ribosomal RNA
Source: RNAcentral